Molecule: ribosomal RNA, 595 nt
Filed under: uncultured organism
Description: bacterial SSU rRNA
Rfam family: Bacterial small subunit ribosomal RNA
Source: RNAcentral
ACGAAAGCUAGGGUAUCGAACAGGAUUAGAUACCCUGGUAGUCCUAGCUGUAAACGUUGUGCACUGGAUGUGGGCGGAUUUGGUCCCGUCUGUGUCUGACCGAAGGCGUUAAGUGCACCGCCUGGGGACUACGGCCGCAAGGCUAAAACUCAAAGGAAUUGACGGGGGCCCGCACAAGCGGUGGAGCAUGUGGCUCAAUUCGAGGCAACGCGAAGAACCUUACCUGGGUUUGACAUAUACCUGACCGCCGGUGAGAGCCGGUUUCUCUUUGAGCAGGUAUACAGGUGCUGCAUGGCUGUCGACAGCUCGUGCUGUGAAGUGUUCGGUUAAGUCCGGCAACGAGCGCAACCCACGCUGUUAGUUUACCAUCAGGUAAUGCUGGGGACUCUAACAGGACUGCCCGUGCUAAGCGGGAGGAAGGCGUGGACGACGUCAAGUCCGCAUGGCCCUUACGCCCAGGGCUGCACACGUGCUACAAUGGCCGGUACAGAGGGUCGCCACUCUGCGAAGAGGAGCUAAUCCCGAAAACCGGCCCCAGUUCGGAUUGGAGUCUGCAACCCGACUCCAUGAAGUAGGAUCGCUAGUAAGGCGUAUC